Molecule: ribosomal RNA, 451 nt
Filed under: uncultured bacterium
Lineage: Bacteria
Description: partial 16S ribosomal RNA
Rfam family: Bacterial small subunit ribosomal RNA
Source: RNAcentral
GUGGGGAAUAUUGGACAAUGGGGGGAACCCUGAUCCAGCCAUGCCGCGUGUGUGAAGAAGGCCUUUUGGUUGUAAAGCACUUUAAGCGAGGAGGAGGCUACUCUAGUUAAUAUCUAGGGAUAGUGGACGUUACUCGCAGAAUAAGCACCGGCUAACUCUGUGCCAGCAGCCGCGGUAAUACAGAGGGUGCAAGCGUUAAUCGGAUUUACUGGGCGUAAAGCGCGCGUAGGUGGCCAAUUAAGUCAAAUGUGAAAUCCCCGAGCUUAACUUGGGAAUUGCAUUCGAUACUGGUUGGCUAGAGUAUGGAAGAGGAUGGUAGAAUUCCAGGUGUAGCGGUGAAAUGCGUAGAGAUCUGGAGGAAUACCGAUGGCGAAGGCAACCAUCUGGCCUAAUACUGACACUGAGGUGCGAAAGCAUGGGGAGCAAACAGGAUUAGAAACCCUUGUAGUCC